Molecule: ribosomal RNA, 344 nt
Filed under: Onthophagus babirussa
Lineage: Eukaryota; Metazoa; Arthropoda; Insecta; Coleoptera; Scarabaeidae
Description: partial 16S ribosomal RNA
Source: RNAcentral
GCCGCGAUAAUUUGAUCGUGCAAAGGUAGCAUAAUAAUUAGUUUUUUAAUUGGGAACUGGAAUGAAAGGUCGAACGAGAAAAAGACUGUCUCAAUUUAAGUUUAAUUAGAAUUUUAUUUUUAAGUUAAAAAGCUUAAAUAUUUUUAAAAGACGAGAAGACCCUAUAGAGUUUUAUAUUUUAGUAAUUUUUUAUUUAGUUUAAGAAUUUAAUUUUAGAAUUAAUUAUAAAAUAUUUGGUUGGGGUGAUUAAAAAAUUAAAUAAACUUUUUUUAUUUAUUAAACAUUGAUUUAUGAUUAAGUGAUCCAUUAUUAAUGAUUAUAAGAUUAAAUUACCUUAGGGUUAA